GAUGAAGAACGUAGCGAAAUGCGAUAAGUAAUGUGAAUUGCAGAAUUCAGUGAAUCAUCGAAUCUUUGAACGCACAUUGCGCCCGCCAGUAUUCUGGCGGGCAUGCCUGUUCGAGCGUCAUUACAACCCUCAUGCCCCCGGGCUUGGCGUUGGGGAUCGGCGGAGCCCCCCGUGGGCACACGCCGUCCCCCAAAUGCAGUGGCGGUCCCGCCGCAGCUUCCAUCGCGUAGUAGCUAACACCUCGCGACUGGAGAGCGGCGCGGCCACGCCGUAAAACACCCAACUCUUCUGAAGUUGACCUCGAAUCAGGUAGGAAUACCCGCUGAACUUAAGCAUAUCAAUAAGCGGAGGA
RNAcentral lists this unclassified non-coding RNA (352 nucleotides) under soil metagenome. RNAcentral's name for it is "partial contains 5.8S ribosomal RNA, internal transcribed spacer 2, and large subunit ribosomal RNA". The stretch from base 1 to 120 matches the Rfam family "5.8S ribosomal RNA", at positions 35 to 154 of the family's 154-position model. The record is from RNAcentral.